GUCCACACAGUAAACGAUGAAUACUCGCUGUUUGCGAUAUACAGUAAGCGGCCAAGCGAAAGCAUUAAGUAUUCCACCUGGGGAGUACGCCGGCAACGGUGAAACUCAAAGGAAUUGACGGGGGCCCGCACAAGCGGAGGAACAUGUGGUUUAAUUCGAUGAUACGCGAGGAACCUUACCCGGGCUUAAAUUGCACCUGAAUAAUGUGGAAACAUGUUAGCCGUAAGGCAGGUGUGAAGGUGCUGCAUGGUUGUCGUCAGCUCGUGCCGUGAGGUGUCGGCUUAAGUGCCAUAACGAGCGCAACCCUUAUCUUCAGUUACUAACAGGUCAUGCUGAGGACUCUGGAGAGACUGCCGUCGUAAGAUGUGAGGAAGGUGGGGAUGACGUCAAAUCAGCACGGCCCUUACGUCCGGGGCUACACACGUGUUACAAUGGGAGGUACAGAAGGCCGCUACCUGGCGACAGGAUGCCAAUCCCCAAAACCUCUCUCAGUUCGGAUCGAAGUCUGCAACCCGACUUCGUGAAGCUGGAUUCGCUAGUAAUCGCGCAUCAGCCAUGGCGCGGUGAAUACGUUCCCGGGCCUUGUACACACCGCCCGUC
RNAcentral lists this ribosomal RNA (600 nucleotides) under uncultured bacterium. RNAcentral describes it as "bacterial SSU rRNA". It matches the Rfam family "Bacterial small subunit ribosomal RNA", at positions 793 to 1398 of the family's 1533-position model. The record is from RNAcentral.